UACGGAGGAUCCAAGCGUUAUCCGGAUUUAUUGGGUUUAAAGGGUGCGUAGGUGGCUUUUUAAGUCAGGGGUGAAAGACGGUAGCUCAACUAUCGCAGUGCCCUUGAUACUGAUGGGCUUGAAUGAACUAGAGGUAGGCGGAAUGUGACAAGUAGCGGUGAAAUGCAUAGAUAUGUCACAGAACACCAAUUGCGAAGGCAGCUUACUAUGGUUUUAUUGACACUGAGGCACGAAAGCGUGGGGAUCAAACAGG
RNAcentral lists this ribosomal RNA (253 nucleotides) under uncultured bacterium. RNAcentral describes it as "partial 16S ribosomal RNA". It matches the Rfam family "Bacterial small subunit ribosomal RNA", at positions 524 to 776 of the family's 1533-position model. The record is from RNAcentral.